This 329-nucleotide ribosomal RNA is filed under the name Escherichia coli. RNAcentral's name for it is "bacterial SSU rRNA". It matches the Rfam family "Bacterial small subunit ribosomal RNA", at positions 117 to 449 of the family's 1533-position model. Lineage: Bacteria; Pseudomonadati; Pseudomonadota; Gammaproteobacteria; Enterobacterales; Enterobacteriaceae. The record is from RNAcentral.
CUGGGAAACUGCCUGAUGGAGGGGGAUAACUACUGGAAACGGUAGCUAAUACCGCAUAACGUCGCAAGACCAAAGAGGGGGACCUUCGGGCCUCUUGCCAUCGGAUGUGCCCAGAUGGGAUUAGCUUGUUGGUGGGGUAACGGCUCACCAAGGCGACGAUCCCUAGCUGGUCUGAGAGGAUGACCAGCCACACUGGAACUGAGACACGGUCCAGACUCCUACGGGAGGCAGCAGUGGGGAAUAUUGCACAAUGGGCGCAAGCCUGAUGCAGCCAUGCCGCGUGUAUGAAGAAGGCCUUCGGGUUGUAAAGUACUUUCAGCGGGGAGGAA